This 452-nucleotide ribosomal RNA is filed under the name uncultured bacterium. Its description in RNAcentral is "bacterial SSU rRNA". It matches the Rfam family "Bacterial small subunit ribosomal RNA", at positions 29 to 526 of the family's 1533-position model. The record is from RNAcentral.
AACGAACGCUGGCGGCAGGCUUAACACAUGCAAGUCGAACGCCCGAGCAAUCGGGAGUGGCAGACGGGUGAGUAACACGUGGGAACAUACCCUUCGGUUCGGAACAACGUUUGGAAACGGACGCUAAUACCGGAUACGCCCUUUGGGGGAAAGGCUUGCCGCCGAAGGAGUGGCCCGCGUUCGAUUAGCUUGAUGGCGGGGUAACGGCCCACCAUGGCGACGAUCGAUAGCUGGUCUGAGAGGAUGGCCAGCCACAUUGGGACUGAGACACGGCCCAAACUCCUACGGGAGGCAGCAGUGGGGAAUAUUGGACAAUGGGCGCAAGCCUGAUCCAGCCAUGCCGCGUGAGUGAUGACGGCCUUAGGGUUGUAAAGCUCUUUCGCCGGCGACGAUAAUGACGGUACCCGGAGAAGAAGCCCCGGCUAACUUCGUGCCAGCAGCCGCGGUAACAC